GACGAACGCUGGCGGCGUGCUUAACACAUGCAAGUCGAACGGAAAGGCCCUUCUUUUGUGGUGUGCUCGAGUGGCGAACGGGUUAGUAACACGUGAGUAACCUGCCCUUUACUUUGGGAUAACUUCAGGAAACUGGGGCUAAUACCGGCUAGGAGCUCCUGCUGCAUGGUGGGGGUUGGAAAGUUUCGGCGGUUGGGGAUGGACUCGCGGCUUAUCAGCUUGUUGGUGGGGUAGUGGCUUACCAAGGCUUUGACGGGUAGCCGGCCUGAGAGGGUGACCGGCCACAUUGGGACUGAGAUACGGCCCAGACUCCUACGGGAGGCAGCAGUGGGGAAUAUUGCACAAUGGGCGGAAGCCUGAUGCAGCAACGCCGCGUGCGGGAUGACGGCCUUCGGGUUGUAAACCGCUUUCGCCUGUGACGAAGCGUGAGUGACGGUAAUGGGUAAAGAAGCACCGGCUAACUACGUG
This 468-nucleotide ribosomal RNA is filed under the name uncultured bacterium. Its description in RNAcentral is "partial 16S ribosomal RNA". It matches the Rfam family "Bacterial small subunit ribosomal RNA", at positions 28 to 507 of the family's 1533-position model. The record is from RNAcentral.